AUAAUAUCUCUGUGUUAGGGUGA
This 23-nucleotide microRNA is filed under the name Drosophila ananassae. Its description in RNAcentral is "Dan-Novel-19_3p (mature (co-guide))". Lineage: Eukaryota; Metazoa; Arthropoda; Insecta; Diptera; Drosophilidae. The record is from RNAcentral.